Molecule: long non-coding RNA, 934 nt
Filed under: Linum usitatissimum (flax)
Lineage: Eukaryota; Viridiplantae; Streptophyta; Magnoliopsida; Malpighiales; Linaceae
Description: long non-coding RNA (LUSI_LNC006213)
Source: RNAcentral
UGGCAGCUAUAGAUCCAAUCUCAUUGUUGCAACACAUCUAAAAGAAAGAAUAAUAAACCGUUAUUAAAGUACUGGACUCAGAAGGAUCUAACUCCACACCUCAACCCUUAACAUUUGAAUAGCAAAAGUUACAUUUAAGAAAAAGUUGAGACCUUCAUAAUGACAUCUUCCUCAUGCUUUGGUGCUAGCAGAAAUUUUGGUGAUGACCAGGCAUUGACCCUCAACCCCCUCCUCUCCCCCAAGAGUUCAGGGAGAAGGUGGAGCUUACAAUAUGCACAUGGGCAAGUUCAUCUCCCAGCGGAAAGUCAAUAUGGGCAAGGUGAAAGGUGGCAUCCGUUGAGCCUGGCUGUAGAUCAGAGGGAUGACCAUCGAUGAGGCCAGGGACUACAAGUUUGAGUAUGAGAAGGUGUCAUACGGGGGUAAGUUUUGUGAGAGAAUGGGCCACCUGAUCCAUGAUUGCAAGUGGAAGAAAAAGAGGAAGACGCAACUAAAGAACUGAGGGGACAUAGAGGGAAAGAAGCGGUGGUGGAGGACGAUGCGUUAUCGCCUCGUCUGAAGAUGGAAGAAAUGCGCUCUCCUAUGCCUGGCUUUGCGUGGCUCCACUUCCGAGAUGUGCACAAGAGAGAGGAAUUACCUGCCUAUCACACAAUGACUCCCUUGUCAGUGACUACUCGCUCAACGGAAACAACCCCUAUAUCAUAGGUUUUGAUUGGUCACAUACACAUCAUCAUUGUCUAAUCUAGUUAUGCCUAUCUUAUCCUAAUCUUUACUAUAGAUUACUCGCUACUGUACAACCAUCAAAAGAAAAUCCAAUCAUAGGAUUCUACAUCAUCUAUCUAUAGUUCUACCUUGGAUAAGGCAGUAACUAAACAUGAACCCUAAUCUGUGACCCUAAUCUAAAUGUGAGCUUUCAACCCUUCCAAAAACAUCUGCU